Molecule: non-coding RNA, 23 nt
Filed under: Arabidopsis thaliana (thale cress)
Lineage: Eukaryota; Viridiplantae; Streptophyta; Magnoliopsida; Brassicales; Brassicaceae
Source: RNAcentral
GGCAAAGUUUAGAGAUCGCCGGU